AAGGGAGUGUGAGUAGGAGAUAUGAUGUGAUAAACAGUUAUAAAUACAAAUAUAAAUAGCGUUGUGUAUUGCACUGGUUUACUCUCUGGGGGGUGAUUUAGCUGUUCAUGAGGUAGAUGGCCUGAGGAAAGAAACUUUUCUUGUGCCUGGCUGUCCUGGUGGUCAGUGCUCUGUAGCGCCGGCCAGAUGGCAAAGGUUCGAAGAGGAAGUGGCCUGAUGAUCCAUCACAUGUGGUGUCGUUAGCUAAUUGUUUUACUUGUAUAAAAUUAUGGAUGAGUAAAAAUUUUUUAUCUCUAAAUGCCAGUAAAACAGGUACUUGUGGUGGAUGGUGAUGCCAAAACUCUCAACAUAAUCACGUCAAUCUUUACAACAAAUGGUUUUACCUUCAAGCGUCCGGAUUGUGUCAAGGAUUUGGGUGUCCUGCUGGAUGGAAAGCUGUCAUUUGUAUCGCAUGUAAAUGCUUUGACUAAGUCGUGCUUCCUUCAAUUAAGAAGCAUAGCUAAAAUGCGGCAAUUCCUUUGUAGACGGGAUUCUGAGAAACUGGUUCAUGCUUUUGUUUCUAGCAGGCUGGAUUACUGUAAUGCUUUAUUGUCGGGUUGUCUGUACCAGACUGUAUCCAGGCUACAGUUGGUACAAAAUGCUGCUGCGAGAAUUGUUACUAGAACUAGGAAGUACGACCAUAUAACACCGGUACUUAAAUCCUUGCAUUGGCUCCCGGUCUCCUAUAGAGUUGAUUAUAAAAUCCUACUUUUGACCUAUAAGGCAAUACAUGGCAUUGCUCCGGCUUACCUUUGUGAGACCAUUAAUUUUUAUAUCCCAGGACGAUAUCUCCGUUCAUUAGAUGUAGGUUACCUUAAAGUACCUGUGAUCAAUAAGACCUCAGUAGGAGGUCACGCCUUUAGUUAUAGAGCACCUAAACUGUGGAAUAGUCUACCAGUUACUGUCAGAAAUGCCCCAUCUGCUUCUGUUUUCAAAUCCUGACUAAAGACUUACAUGUUCACUCAGG
Molecule: long non-coding RNA, 1006 nt
Filed under: Scleropages formosus (Asian bonytongue)
Lineage: Eukaryota; Metazoa; Chordata; Actinopteri; Osteoglossiformes; Osteoglossidae
Description: lncRNA (ENSSFOG00015031327.1)
Source: RNAcentral